RNAcentral lists this ribosomal RNA (128 nucleotides) under Panthera pardus (leopard). The record is from RNAcentral. Lineage: Eukaryota; Metazoa; Chordata; Mammalia; Carnivora; Felidae.
UCUACGGCCAUACCACCCUGAACACGCCCGAUCUUGUCUGAUCUCGGAAGCUAAGCAGGGUCAGGCCUGGUUAGUACUUGGAUGGGAGAAAGGUAAAAUCCAUAUGAAAAUAUAAAAUACAGGAAGAA